RNAcentral lists this ribosomal RNA (253 nucleotides) under uncultured bacterium. Its description in RNAcentral is "partial 16S ribosomal RNA". It matches the Rfam family "Bacterial small subunit ribosomal RNA", at positions 524 to 776 of the family's 1533-position model. The record is from RNAcentral.
UACGUAGGGAGCGAGCGUUGUCCGGAUUUACUGGGUGUAAAGGGUGCGUAGGCGGCUCUGCAAGUCAGAAGUGAAAUCUAUGGGCUUAACCCAUAAACUGCUUUUGAAACUGUGGAGCUUGAGUGAAGUAGAGGUAGGCGGAAUUCCCGGUGUAGCGGUGAAAUGCGUAGAGAUCGGGAGGAACACCAGUGGCGAAAGCGGCCUACUGGGCUUUAACUGACGCUGAGGCACGAAAGCGUGGGUAGCAAACAGG